Molecule: long non-coding RNA, 617 nt
Organism: Solanum verrucosum
Lineage: Eukaryota; Viridiplantae; Streptophyta; Magnoliopsida; Solanales; Solanaceae
Exons: 4
Source: RefSeq, a predicted model, not a curated record
GAGAAUUCGACAUGUACCCGUUGCCAUUUUUAAAGAGUUCGAGCAACAUAGCCCCCAAGGUUCAUUACUUUUCAACCAAAAUAAGAGGGAGAAUAAGGGGAAUACAGUCUCUUGAAGUAUCAAUUUAAUAAAGGAACACUGAUCUUUAACUUCUCCCGUGAUAUAAACAUCUCUCAUUUGGCACAAAGAGUUGACUAAUGCUUGAACAGGUUCGAAAAUUGUGGAACAGUUAUGAUAACAACUUCAUUAGUGAAUGGAGAAGCAGGAGGUAGAAUGCCAAUGGCAUCAACUACCCAAUGGAUAAGAAUAGAUGGUGAAUUCAUAGUAAAUCAGCAGCAGAUAUAUGAGGCUCUUGACUUGCAUUUUUUAUUGAUGUUAAUGGUACCAAGCUAACUCAAGUGAAACACUCAUAACUUCCUAAUGAGAAUUCAAUCCCUUGCCGGCUGUGGAAGUAACUUCAAAUUCACGAAGUUGCUUUUGGAGGAAGAUGGUUAAUUUUGGUGUUAGCAGUUUUGUGAACUUUGUAAGAUCCAGAAAAGGCUUAAUGAGUAUGCUUCUUGCUCCAAAUUUGGGAAUUCAACAAUAAAUAGUUGGGAAACAUUGAUAAUUCAAUAAGG